UACGAAGGGGGCUAGCGUUGUUCGGAAUUACUGGGCGUAAAGGGCGCGUAGGCGGCGUGUCAAGUCAGGCGUGAAAGCCCCGGGCUCAACCUGGGAACCGCGCUUGAGACUGGCAUGCUCGAGUUCGGGAGAGGAUGGUGGAAUUCCCAGUGUAGAGGUGCAAUUCGUAGAUAUUGGGAAGAACACCGAUGGCGAAGGCAGCCAUCUGGACCGACACUGACGCUGAGGCGCGAAAGCGUGGGGAGCAAACAGG
This 253-nucleotide ribosomal RNA is filed under the name uncultured bacterium. RNAcentral describes it as "partial 16S ribosomal RNA". It matches the Rfam family "Bacterial small subunit ribosomal RNA", at positions 524 to 776 of the family's 1533-position model. The record is from RNAcentral.